UGGGGGAUAUUGCACAAUGGGGGAAACCCUGAUGCAGCAACGCCGCGUGAAGGAAGAAGGUCUUCGGAUUGUAAACUUUUGUCCUUGGUGAAGAUAAUGACGGUAGCCAAGGAGGAAGCCCCGGCUAACUACGUGCCAGCAGCCGCGGUAAUACGUAGGCGGCAAGCGUUGUCCGGAAUCAUUGGGCGUAAAGGGAGCGCAGGUGGACGUAUAGGUCCUUCUUAAAAGUUCGGGGCUCAGCCCCGUGAGGGGAAGGAAACCAUGCGUCUUGAGUGCAGGAGAGGGAAGCGGAAUUCCUGGUGUAGCGGUGAAAUGCGUAGAUAUCAGGAAGAACACCAGUGGCGAAGGCGGCUUUCUGGACUGCAACUGACACUGAGGCUCGAAAGCCAGGGAAGCGAACGGGAUUAGAUACCCUGGUAGU
Molecule: ribosomal RNA, 421 nt
Filed under: uncultured Schwartzia sp.
Lineage: Bacteria; Bacillati; Bacillota; Negativicutes; Selenomonadales; Selenomonadaceae
Description: bacterial SSU rRNA
Rfam family: Bacterial small subunit ribosomal RNA
Source: RNAcentral